RNAcentral lists this transfer RNA (57 nucleotides) under Ictidomys tridecemlineatus (thirteen-lined ground squirrel). Its description in RNAcentral is "Spermophilus tridecemlineatus (thirteen-lined ground squirrel) tRNA". It matches the Rfam family "tRNA", at positions 8 to 63 of the family's 71-position model. From Rfam's summary of the family: Transfer RNA (tRNA) molecules are approximately 80 nucleotides in length. Their secondary structure includes four short double-helical elements and three loops (D, anti-codon, and T loops). Lineage: Eukaryota; Metazoa; Chordata; Mammalia; Rodentia; Sciuridae. The record is from Rfam by way of RNAcentral.
UAGCUCAGUGGUAGUGUGCAUGUCUAGCAAGUAUGAGGCCCUGGGUUCAAUCCCCAG